Molecule: unclassified non-coding RNA, 228 nt
Filed under: Zea mays
Lineage: Eukaryota; Viridiplantae; Streptophyta; Magnoliopsida; Poales; Poaceae
Description: misc RNA Zm00001eb144550
Source: RNAcentral
UUGACAGCGCAACCAACCCGCUACUCAUUUUUUUCUCCGCGCCGCGUCGCCUUCUCGCCGUACGGGGUCGCAUGGAAACGACGAGGAGGGGAGGUUGGCUUCCUUCCUCUGGUCCCUCUCCAGUCCAGUCCCCGUGAUCCGACCUUUCCUGUGAAGAGGAAGAAGAGCCGCUUGAGAUGGCGCCAAGGGACUCCGCGUCUGCUUUUGGCGGGACCAAUGCGGGCGUAG